RNAcentral lists this ribosomal RNA (253 nucleotides) under uncultured bacterium. RNAcentral's name for it is "partial 16S ribosomal RNA". It matches the Rfam family "Bacterial small subunit ribosomal RNA", at positions 524 to 776 of the family's 1533-position model. The record is from RNAcentral.
UACGGAGGGUGCAAGCGUUGUCCGGAAUCACUGGGUGUAAAGGGUGUGUAGGCGGGCCCGUAAGUCAGAUGUGAAAGGCCACGGCUUAACCGUGGAACUGCCUCUGAUACUGUGGGUCUUGAGUCUCGGAGAGGUCGCUGGAAUUCGUGGUGUAGCGGUGAAAUGCGUAGAUAUCACGAGGAACACCAGAGGCGUAGGCGGGCGACUGGACGACGACUGACGCUGAGGCACGAAAGCGUGGGGAGCAAACAGG